RNAcentral lists this transfer RNA (66 nucleotides) under Grandisonia alternans. Its description in RNAcentral is "tRNA-Cys". Lineage: Eukaryota; Metazoa; Chordata; Amphibia; Gymnophiona; Indotyphlidae. The record is from RNAcentral.
AGUUUUGUAGUGAAAUUCACGCUAAAUUGCAAAUUUAGAAAUGCAGGGUAGGACCUGCCGGGGCUU